This 72-nucleotide transfer RNA is filed under the name Dunaliella viridis. RNAcentral describes it as "tRNA-Gln". It matches the Rfam family "tRNA". From Rfam's summary of the family: Transfer RNA (tRNA) molecules are approximately 80 nucleotides in length. Their secondary structure includes four short double-helical elements and three loops (D, anti-codon, and T loops). Lineage: Eukaryota; Viridiplantae; Chlorophyta; Chlorophyceae; Chlamydomonadales; Dunaliellaceae. The record is from RNAcentral.
UGAGGAUUCGACUAAUGGGUAGGUCAGCAGGCUUUGAACCUGCCAGUAUGUGUUCGAGUCACAUAUCCUCAG